GACGAACGCUGGCGGCGUGCUUAACACAUGCAAGUCGAACGGUGAAGCGCCUUCCUUUUUGGUGGGUGUGGAUGAGUGGCGAACGGGUGAGUAACACGUGAGUAACCUGCCCCCUUCUUCUGGAUAACCGCAUGAAAGUGUGGCUAAUACGGGAUAUUCUGGGUCUGUCGCAUGAUGGGUCUGGGAAAGAUAUUGUUUCGGUGGGGGAUGGGCUCGCGGCCUAUCAGCUUGUUGGUGGGGUGAUGGCCUACCAAGGCGGUGACGGGUAGCCGGCCUGAGAGGGUGGACGGUCACACUGGGACGACGCCACGGAGAAGAAUCCUACGGGAGGAAGCAGUGGAGAAUGUUGCACAAUGGGGGGAAGCCUGAUGCAGCGGCGCCGCGUGAGGGAUGGCGGCCUUCGCGUUGUAAACCUCUUUCGCCAGAGAAGCAGGCCUGCCUCGUUUGUGGGUGGGUUGACGGUAGCUGGAUAAGAAGCGCCGGCUAACUACGUG
RNAcentral lists this ribosomal RNA (494 nucleotides) under uncultured bacterium. Its description in RNAcentral is "partial 16S ribosomal RNA". It matches the Rfam family "Bacterial small subunit ribosomal RNA", at positions 28 to 507 of the family's 1533-position model. The record is from RNAcentral.